GCUCAGCCCCACCAGCGCGUCAUCCAUCAUCAAUGCAUCUGUGGCCAGCAGCCUUGAUUCCUGGCUCAGCCUUCAACGCCCUUUGCCAUACAGCCGCCGCCUGCUGCCCUCGCCAAACCAGUGCUCAAGCACACGUGGCUGCUCAGCCUCCCUGCCUAUGCUCAGGCAGGGCCCUCUGCCAGGAAUUCCUUUUCCUUCUGUGGACGUUCAACCAUCUUUUACACCUAAUGCAAAUGGCAAAAAAUGAGUCACUGCGCCUUCUCUUCGGGUACAGUAGGAUGUGCUGGGUGAGGACGGCCUGUCUUCCUCACAGGGCUGGGAGCUCCCCAUGGGCACAGCCUGGGUCCCAGGUUAUCUCUGUGGUCUCCCGGACUGGCACCAGCCAAGGGUUUAGUAGGUGUUCUGUAACUGUUCCCCAAAAGGCAGAGAAUUUCCAGUUGUCCCAGCACCAGUCUUGCGCACAAUGAAAUCAUCUUUAGAUCUAGGCAUGAAGAUGGCAGACCUACUGUGUGCACUGCACUGUUGGCCACCGAAGGGGACCCAGGGAAGCCAGACAUGUGCCCAUCUUCAAGCAGUUUAUGAUUCCCUGAAAGGUCAGGGUGCAGACAGAACAGAACAGGUUCCCAAAAAGGGAAACUGAGGCCUAGAGAGAGGAUGAGGUGUCUUACAGAGGCAUCCCUGGGCCCAGGGGAAGGGUGUGGAUGGAGUUAGAUUGCCUCAUUCCCACACUAGCUAGCUGGUUAAUCUCUCUGGGCCCCCACUCCUUCACGUAAGGAUGAUGACAGUGCCUGCCCCGCAGGGUCGCUGGGAGGCAUGAAUGAGGUGGUACAUACAAAGUGUUCAAAGUCCAGUACACAGUAAGGGCUCAACACAUCUUAUGCUGGGUGCAGUGGCUCACGCCUGUAAUCCCAGCACUUUGGGAGGCCAACGUGGGUGUAUCACUCGAGGUCAGAAGUUUGAGACCAGCCUGGCCAACAGAGUGAAACCCCAUCUCUACUAUAACAAAAAUUAUCUAGGCGUGGUGGCGCGUGCCUGUAAUCCCAGCUAUUCGGGAGGCUGAGGCUGGAGAAUUGCUUGAACCCAGGAGGCGGAGGCUGCAGUGAGCCGAGAUUGUGCCUCUGCACUCCAGCUUGGGUGACAGAGCGAGACUCCAUCUCAAAAAACAAACAAACAAAAAACAAACAAAAAAACAUCUUAGCUGUGAGUGCCUGGUGGUGUUAGGGAAGCGGGCGCCUGGUAGAGCCAGAGUAAGGCCAUGUUCAAUUUGACUCCAUCUUAAGACUAAAAAGCCACAUUCCUUGCUGGUCACAAGAUAGUCAUGGGAUGUGUACAGUUGAGGAAACAGCCUAAAGAUACCUACAAGGAUGUACUCCUACAUCAGCACAGAGUCCAGGUGUCCCAAUACCCAUAACAGUAUGUGCUUGCAAGAUAAUUAUAGUUACGCUUCAGUAUACUCACACACUAAAAUGUCAAGGAUGGUUUUUGUUUUGCUUUUCAAGAUUGUUUUAUAUUUUAACAGUUUUGGGAAGUACAGGUGGUUUUUGGUUACAUGGGUGAAUUCUAUAGUGAUGAUUUCUGAGAUUUUCGUGCACCCGUCACCCGAGCAGUGUGCACUGUACCCAAUAUGUAGUCUUUCAACCCUCACCCACCCCCCAACCUUCCCCCCAAGUCCCCAAAUUCCAUGAUAUCAUUCUUAUGCCUUUUCAUGUUCAUAGCUUAGCUCCCACUUAUAAGUGAGAACAUAUAAUAUUUGGUUUUCCAUUCCUGAGUUACUUCGCUCAGAAUAAUGGUCUCCAGCUCCGUCUAAGUUGCUGCAGAAGACAUCAUUCCCUUCCUUUUUUUGUGGCUGAGUAGUAUUCCAUGGUGUAUAUUAUAUGUGCCACGUUUUCUUUAAAUCAAUAAAGUAAUCAAUUUUGUCAUGCCGUGCACUCACCUGCAAGUAGACACAGCUUAGCUUAGCUUUUACAUAGACAACACUCCUCUGUAAGAAAAACCUAAAAACAAACCCGGGACGGGGGGUCCUCCUCUCACUUUCUGAGGAUGCUCUACUCUGUAACUAACAGGGUAGCUUUCAGUCAACCAUCCCUUCUUACUGCACUCCAGAACUUGCUUUGAAUUCCUUCCUGUACGAAAUCCGAGAACCCUCUCUUGGGGUCCGUUUCAAGACCCUCUUUUCUGGUAACAAUGGCAUAUCCACUUCAGCCCCCUUGGCUAGCAGAGCAACAAGAGGGAGCCCAAACUGGGGCCAGCCCAUCAGAAAAGGGGGUUAUCUGCCCCAAACAAGACAUCUCUGAGCCAAUCCCAGGGCAGAGCCAACCCACAGAGCCCUGAAGAGUGUUGUCAGCUGCAGCACAUUUGAAAUCACUUAAAACACACAACUAGGGAGUGGGGCGGGGUGGGGGCGUGGAGAAACAGCAAACACAUUUUCCAUCUUCUCAGUUCCCAGCCCGACCCAACAACUGCCCUCCUGGUCCCAAUCGGUUCUCUCCACCCUGCGGAGGGGCAGAUGGGGUAGGUGGGGUCAGCGAAGACAGGACCCAGCAAGAAGGAGCAGCCCAGUGCAAAAGCCUGAAGUCCUGAUACAACCAACGCAGAUGCGUAAAAAAAAAUGCCAUGCUGCGUGGAAGGAGCCAGACACAACAAAGCCAUGCUGCAUGAGCCCACUGACAGGAAAUGUGCAGAAAAGGCAAGACUGCAGAGACAGACCGCAGACGAGUGGUUGCCAGGGGCUUGUGCUGGAUGGGGUGGGGGUGGGGGGGAGUGCCUGCUAAUAGGUACAGCGCUUCCUUCUGGGGUGAGGACAAUGUUCUGGGCUAGAGAGUGAUCCCUGGGCAACUUGGUACAUUUACUAAAAAUUACUGUACACUUCAAAAGAGUGAAUUUUAUAGUCUGUAAAUUAUAUCUCAAUAAGCUAUUGGAGGAGGAGGAGGAAGAAGAAAAAAGAGGAGGAGGAGAAGGUGGAAGAGGAAAAGGAGGGGGAAGAGGAGGAGGAAGAGGAGAGGGGCCCGGUGCAGUGACUCAGGCCUGUAAUCCCAGCACUUCAGGAGGCUGAGGUGGGAGGAUCACUUGACCCCAGGAGUUCAAGACCAGCCUUGGCAACAUGGCCAGACACUGUCUCGAUUUUUAAAAAGAAAAAAAAAGUGCAGAAGGAGGAGAAAAGGGGGGAAGAGAUAAAAAUGGAAGAGGAAGAAGAGGAAAAGGAGGAGAAAAAACAGGAGGAAGAGAAGAGGGAGGAAGAGAAAAGGGAGGAAGAAAAGAAGGAGGUGGAGAAGGAGCAAACCAUGCCAAGGGAUGAGAAAAGAGGGAGAAGCAAGCUAGAAGGUCUUGCCUGGGCACGCGCAGGGUCAGCAGCGCCUAGAACCUGGCUGGAGUGCUCCCUCCCCACUCAGUCAGUGAACAUGAUUGAGCCCUACCAGGAGCUGGGAGCGAAGCUCCCGGGAGCAGGGAUCUGCACUCAGGUAGGCCUGGGGUUCAAAUUGCAACUCCGGCCCUGCCAAACAGUGUCAUCCAGGACAACCUGCUUCUCUUCUCUGUGCCUCGGUUUCUUCAGACAUAAAAUGAGGCUGAGAAUAACAACGACAACAAUCGUGAUAAUUUCCUCCCUCACAGGGCAGCAGUGAGGCAGAGGUCAGAUGAUGUGAGAAAAGCACUCAGUAGGCUGACUGCAACUGCUCAAUCAAUGAAGGCCCUGAGGAUUAAGUGUGGAGCAUUAGGGACAUGAGUGAGGCAGGAUUCUUGCCCUCAGCAGGGCUCACGGUCUGUAGGAGAAGCACUUGGGAAUAAACUACAGCACUAGAGGCUAGAGGGCCUGGAAUGGAGGAGUUCACAGGAUAGGGUGCAACCCAGGAGGGCUUCUUGGAGAAGGUGGCACAGAACCCAGGCUUGAAAUAUGACAAAAUGUCCCUAUUCUCAAGAGACCUCGAGUUCAAGUAGAAGAUUCAGCAUCUCUGGAAAUACAUCUGCUUAAGACAGAAAUGCUGUUUCUAUAUCCAUAAGGUUCUCACUAUGGGCUUGGCUAUCCAUACCCCACACUCUUUUUAGAAAUAAAACAAAAAAUUUUUUUUCCCAAAAAAUACUUUCUCCGGAAGAGAAAAUAUCAUACAUGAAAAUAAAUGGGGCAGCCAGGGCUGUGAAGGCUGCAGAGGAACAUCCUAAGCUCAGCUGGGCGGCUCUGAUGUCAGGUUCACAAAAUAGAAACUGACACGGGGCCCAAAGGGGAGAGCGCACAGUGACACAUCUACCGAAAUUAGUGGGCUGCAUGAAAAGAUGAAAAUCUAAGUAGUCAUGGAAAAUUUGGAUGUUUCAGGUUUAGAAUGGAGGCCCAAAUGUAAAACGGCUUAAAAGCAAAUUAAAAACGAAAUGUGGAAAAUAGACCGUCUCCAUCCUGCCCUCUUGUGGUCAUUUCUGAAUGCUGCACAAGAAAACGAGUGCCUUGUUUCACCUGGGAGAAUGAGGCAGGUAAAACAGAGAAACUGGCGGCCCUGGAUUGAGCCCCCACCUGUGCCACCUGCCCAGUGUCAGAGCCCGGGCCAAGUCACUUCACUUCGCCAGCCCUCAGUUUCCCGUGGGUCUCCCAGAGUUAUGGCAAGGAUCCAGUGAGAUAAUGAGUGUGAAUAACAAGACCUCCGAUACCCAGAGUGUGAACCGAAGGCAGCUGGAAUGUGGCCUGAGCACAUGGUGAGAUGUCACAUUAAAAUCAGGAUCAGGCCAGGCGCAGUGGCUCACACCUGUAAUCCCAGCACUUUGGGAGGCCGAGGUGGACCAUCACAUGAGGUCAGGAGUUUGAGAUCAGCCUGGCCAACAUGGCGAAACCCUGUCUCUACUAAAAAUACAAAAAUUAGCCAGGUGUGAUGGUGCACACCUGUAAUCCCAGCUACUCAGGAGGCUGAGUCAGGAGAAUCACUUGAACUCAGGCAGCAGAGGUUGCGGUGAGCUGAGACCGUGCCACUGCACUCCAGCCUUGGCAACAGAGCAAGAUUCCAUCUCAAAAUAAAUAAAUAAAUAAAAUAAAAUCAGGAUCAUCAGUUCUGCUUGAAAAACUGGAUGAUCCAACCAACAUUCUGGGCAAGGAAGAGCUGGGAUGCAUGGGAAGCUCCUUCCUCCCCACCAUUUGUCACGAAAUCCCCAUCCCUGCCUGGCCUGGCUUCUGGGCACAGCUCCCGAUGCAAAAUCCCCGGGAAAGGGCCUGCAAAUCCGGGUUCCAAGCCCCAAGGUGCCCCGGGUGCCUUGCAGGAGGCCUGGCAUUUAGGAAUCCCCAGAUCAGGGAUUUCUGAGGCAGUUUAGAAGGGACUUUGCCCUCAGAACUCUGCCCCCCAACUAAAUUCUCCAUUUUCCCUCUGAACCCUCCUCUCUGCUCAGUGAUGAGUGGGCACCCUAACAGUGCAGGGGUCCCCUCCCAGGAACUACAUGGGAGGGGCAGCAAGGUACUUUUGCCACACAAGCUGUCCAGCCUCCUGGCCUUGUGCAGGCUGGUACCUGGGAUACCCUUCCUGCCCCUCCCUCUGCCUGGUCAAACUCUACUCCCCCGUCAGGAUCCAGGGCAAGAUGAGUCUUUCUAGUUCCCCUGCCACCAGGCCAAGGAAGAGCCAAUUACUCCCUCUUCUGUCGGGUUAGUUUGUUGUGCAUCUGUCUGUUGUGUGUCUGUCUCCCUUCCUCAGCUGUGGACUCACUCACUCCUUCAUUCAACAAUUUUUUUUUCUUUUGAGAUGGAGUCUCACUCUGUCACCAGGGCUGGAGUGCAGUGGCGUAAUCUGGGCUCACUGCAACCUCUGCCUCCUGGGUUCAAGUGAUUCUCCUGCCUCAGCCUCUCAAGUAGCUGAGAUUACAGUAGCUGGGAUUACAGGCACCCACCACUACACCCAGCUAAUUUUUGUAUUUUUAGUAGAAACGGGGUUUCACCAUGUUGGCCAAGCUGAUCUUGAACUCCUGACCUCAGGCGAUCCUCCCACCUCGGCCUCCCAAAGUGCUGGGAUUACAGGCGUGAGCCACCGUGCCUGGCCCCUCACUCAACAAAUAUUUACCUAGCUUCAACUCUGCACUGAAAACACAAAAGCGAACAAAAGCGUCAAAAGCCCUCCAGUCCUGCAAUUCUCGUUUGGUGGGGGAGGGAUAAGAAGUCAGCAAACAGCCUCCACCCUGAUGAGGGAGGCAGAUAUCAGAAAGACACUGCGCAUGGUAAUGAAGGUGCUGUGAGGGAAUAAUGGGGACCCGGGCCCUUCUGCAGAGGUGAUGUCAGGGAAGGCCUUGCCCAGGGGUGACAUCUGAGUUUAGAGAGGUCCUGAGAAGAGGCCUCACUCAGGUGCUCUGGUCAUCAGUCCCAGGAGCCCAGCCUUCAAGUCAUCCCAGCCCGGGCACCAGACGUAAGUGAUGAGGCUUCCAGAUGAUUCCUGCCCCAGCUGUUCAGGGCUCCCAGCAGAGAAGAGCUGUACCCACAGAGCCCUGCUUGGCUUCUUGACCUGUGGAAUCCAUGACCGUGUUACACCCCUAAGUUCUGGGAUGGUUCAUUAUAACAACAGAUCACCAGACCACGGAACUUACUUCUUCUCUUCUACUCUUCAGGGUGCUAACUCGUUUUUAUAUAAACAACUCAUCCCCAUCCAGACACACACACAAGGCCCUAGAGCAGCAGUUCCUGAACUGUGCCGUAUCCUCCGGGGAUCUCUAAAAAUACUGACACCCAGACAAUAGGGGGGAAUCCUAAAAAUACCUGGCCAAGACUAUUCAAGAUUGUCAAGCUCAUCAAAAAAAAAAAAAAAGUCUGAUGCUACAUCCUGGAUGGGACAUAACAUUAAAACUGAGAAAAUCGGAAUAAACUAUGAACUUUAUUUAACAGAAACGUAUCAGUAUUGGCUCAUUGAUGGUAAUGAACAUGCUAUGCUAAGGCAAGAUGGUGAUGAUAGCUAGAAGCUGGGUGUGGGUGUAUGGGAACUCUCUGUACCAUCAUUCCAAUUUUCCUGUAAAUCUAAAACUGUUCUAAAAAGUAAAGUCUAUUUAAAAAAUACUGAUGCCCAGGCCCUGCCCCCAUGCAUUUAGAUUUAAUUUCUGGGAUGUGACCUGGGCAUCUAAGUUUUGAAAAGCUCCCUGAGUGAGUUCUUUCCAUUUCCAGAAGAAGAAAUCUAGGCUCCAACUGGUGGGGCUGCGUCUGGAAUCUGGAUCCUUCAUCACACCCUGAAGUCUUAAAAACUUUCUUUCUCCAUAACUCAUGUCUGCCACAGGGUGCUAAGACGGAUUUUCAAAGGAGGGAUGAGGCUGGGUGUGGUACCUCAUGCCUGUAAUACCAGCACUUUGGGAGACCCAGACGGGUGAAUAGCUCAAGCCCAGGAGUUCCAGACCAGCCUGGGCAACAUGGCGAAACCCUGUCUCUACAAAAAAUACAAAAAUUAGCCAGCAUGCUGGCGCAUGCCUGCGGUCCUAGGUACUUGGGAGGCCGAGGCAGAAGGAUCGCUUGAGCCCAGGUCAAAGCUGCUGUGAGCCAUGAUUGUGCCACUGCACUUCUGCCUGGGCAACAGAGUGAGACCUUGUCUAAAAAAAAAAAAAGCCCAGCAGAGCGCACUGGAUAUGUGACGUUACCCUUCUGGGCCUCUGUUUUCCUCAUCUGUGAGAUGGCAGCAGUGCGUUGUGAGCUAAUGGGCUAACAGGUGGAAAAGGUUAACACUCUCCUCAGUCUCCUUCCAACAGCGAGGGGAGCCUCUAGAGCCCGCAACCCCGCGCUGUUCCACCAGGGGGCGCGCGCGCGCCAGGAUGCUGGCCUACUCCCACGAGGGAGGCUUUGCAAUGAACAGGUGUCCCUGUCAUUCACUCAUCUCUCUCCUGCGGGCCGGUUGGCAUCCAGCUGGGGGCCCUGCGUGGCCUUGGUCCCUGGGAGCCCACAGAGCCCCGGAGCUCCAGACGGCACUGCUGAAACCGAAGCCAGCCAUCCUUCUUCCACCUGGGGAUCCUGCCCCACUAGAGACACCCUUUCUCCUCCCAAGUUGCAAGGGAUAAGUCCACAGGUCUGGAUUCAAUCCAGCCAUCACUGUUUCUUCACUGCGUGUUGUGGGGCCAGUCACCUCCCCUCUCUGAGCCUCAGGUUCAGAAUCUCUUAAAUGGGCAUCCUCUUGGCACUUCAGAAUAUUGUGAAGUCACUUAGGGGGAAAGUGCCAGGAAAUGGAACUUCAUGUAGAACGUGGGGAGUAUGAAGACGGAUAAUGGGAUAGUGUUUGCACAAUGCUUAGCACAGCGUCUGCCACAUAGAAACUCAGUGUCUAACAUAGUCACAGCAACAACAGCCAACACUUACAAAGCACCUACUAGGUGUCAGGCACUGUUCAUCGCACCUUGUGCAUAGGAGCUCAUUUCACUUCACUGCAUUUCUGUCACCAGGCUGGAGUGCAGUGGCGCAAUCUUGGGUCACUGCAACUCCACCUCCCGGGUUCAAGUGAUUCUGCUGACUCAGCCUCCCGAGUAGCUGGGAUUACAGGCACCUGCCACCAUGCCCAGCUAAUUUUUGUAUUUUUAGUACAGAUGGCGUUUCACCAUGUUGGCCAGGUCUUGAUCUCCUGACCUCGUGAUCCGCCCUCCUCGGCCUCCCAAAGUGCUGGGAUUACAGGAGUGAGCCACUGCGCCCGGCCACUUCACCACAUUUCUAACAAGUAGGCUCUGUUAUAAUCCCAGUCUCAGAGAUGGGAAAAUUGAGGCACAGAGAUGUCAAUCCACUCAAAGUCACAUAGCUGGUAAGUAGCAGAGUUGGGAUUUAAACCCAGGCCAUCUGGCUUAGGAUAUGAGCUCUUUUCUGUAUUCAUCUCACACUUCAAUUUUAAAAAUCUUUUUCCAGGCAACAAAAGAAAAAGUUGGGUGUCAUCAAACUUUAUCAAAGUUAUAAAUUUUGUGCAUCAAAGAAUAUUAUCAAGAGAAUGAAAAGACAGCCCAGAGAAUGGGAAAAAAAAUUGCAAAUAUCUGAUAUGGGAUUAAUAUCCAGAAUAUAUAUAUAAAAUAUUCCACUGGGCGUGGUAGCUUAUGCCUGUAAUCCUGGCACUUUGGGAGGCCGAGAUGGGAGGAACACUUGAGCUCAGGAGUUCGAGACCAACCUGGGCAAUAUGGCAAAACCCUGUCUCUACCAAAAAUACAAAAAAAAAAAAUUAGCCGGGCAUGGUGGCACAUGCCUGUAGUCCCAUGUACUUGGGAAGCUGACAUGGGAGGAUGGUUUGAACUCAUGAGGUGUUGCAGUGAGCCGAGAUCAUGCCACUGGCACUCCAGCCUGGGCAACAGAGCCAGAUCCUGUCUGUCUGUCUGCCUAUCUCUCUCUUUCUGUCUCUCUCUCUCAUUCUCUGUAUAUAUAUAUCUAUGUAUUCCUACAACUCAACAACAAAGAAAAAACAAUCUGAUUCAAAAAUGGGCAAAGGACUUGAACGGACAUUUCUGCCAAAAAGAUAUACAACUGGUCAUUUGGCACAUGAACAGAUACUCAAAAUCAUUAGUCAUUAGGAAAAUGAAAAUAAAUAUCUCAAUGAGCUACCAUGGCUAAUUUUUAAAUUUUUAUUUAUUCAUUGUUUUAGAGACAGGGGUCUCACUAUGUUCAGCCCAGGCUGGUCUGGAACUCCUGGCCUCAAGCAAUCCUCCUAUCUCAGCCUCCUGAGUCACUGGAUGACAGGCAUGAGCCACUGCGCCCAGCCCACAACUUGUUUUUUCAGUCACAACCUUUGAUGAGUUACUUUCAGCAGUCCUUGUGUGGUCUUUCAUUGUGAUUGUUUCCUCCUCAUUUGGACUCGCUGUCAACCAACUGAAAUCUAGAGGGAAUCUCUAACUAGCAUCCAGGAUAUGUUCUUGAGGGGGGCCACCUCACAAGUUCCCAUUUAUUUCAAAGUUGAUUACACUCACAAGGACUACCACUGCUUUCAGCAGAAUCCAAAUGUUUCUCCCCUCCUUUUUCCAGUCUUAAUAACAAAGUCAUCAGGUCCAAAUGCUCUCAAACCUCCCAACCUUUGCCCUGGCAGAUCCUGUAUACAAAGAUGCCGGCAUGACGAUGACACAGCACCAGCCUCAGAAGCAAAGGGCCACAGUUUCACCAGUGAGAGAUGUGGGAAAGUCUGAGCUCAGCAUUAAACCAAACACUGCGGGUGUCCAGGAAGGUCAUGUGGAAGUCAAGUUUAAAGGACCCCAGAUGACGUCCUUUAAAAUUGUAUAGAGCACAAUUUCACGCCUCUAAACCUCUGCCCAUGCUUGUUCCCUCGAUCGGGGCAAACCACUGUUUCCUAGACCAUAGUUACCUGGCAAACACCUGCUCAGCCUUCAAGACUUAGAACUCAGACUCUUUGGUCUCGAACUCCUGCUUCUCAGCUAGCCCUCCCCAGGUGGAGACACCCCCUCCCUCCUCCAGGGAAACUUUACACAAAUUUAAAUUAAAUUAAAGCACAUGACAUGAUCUUUAGUAAAUGUUCAACAAACAGUAGCUAUUAGGGAGCUUCCGGAUACCUGAACACGAGGAGGUUCCUGGAGGGUGGCGUGCCCAGGGAGGGCAUGGAAGCUCUGCGCUCCCUCCCCCAUACCUCGCCCUACGCAUCUCUGCUUCUACAGCUUAUCUUUUCUAAUAAACUGGUAAAUGAAGAGGAAGACAGACCGGAGACAUCUACCUAUCCCCUGCCUCUCACCCUGCAUACACAGAAGAGGCUACGCAAAGACAAAGGAAGGACACAGCUGUCAGCCACGGAGAGGAGCCUCAUUAGAAGCCAGCCUUUCCAGCUCCUUCAUCUUGGACUUCCAGCCUGUGUAUCUGUGAGAAAGUAAAUUUCUGUUGUUUAAGAAAAAAAAAAGAAAAGUAGCUAUUAGAACCCACUGCAAUUAUUUACCUACCUUCUUUUUUAUUUGAGAUGGAGUCUCACUCUGUUACCCAGGCUGGAGUGCAGUGAUGCGAACUCAGCUCACUAAAACCUCCGCCUCCCGAGUUCAAGCAAUUUUCCUGCCUCAGCCUCCUGAGUAGCUGGGAUCAAGUGAUUCUCCUGCCCCUCAGCUUCCUGAGUAGCUGGGAUUACAGGCACGCAACACCACGCCAGUCUAAUUCUUCUUUUUUUUUUGUAUUUUAGUAGAAACAGGGUUUCACCAUGUUGCCCAGGCUGGUCUCGAACUCCUGAGCUCAGGCGAAUCGCCUGCCUAGGCCUCCCCAACUGCUGGAUUUAUAGGCGUGAGCCACUGCACCUGGCCUGUUUACCUACCUUCUUAAUUGUCUAUGCCUUAGUCAUAACUGUAGCCCACUGCCCAGCAUAGCACUUACCACAUGCAGACAAAUAUUUGUCAAAAAAAGGACCAAAAUCCCUAAACACUCUACCUCAGCCCAACUGGUCCCCCAAGCACCCUCCUUUGCCUGUGUGAGUUCUCAGUCCCAAAUGUCUCCCCUCCUACUUCCUGCACCUAACUGGACCCUCCCAGGUCAUUUUCAGACCCCUGGGCUGUGAACUCCAGGAAGCUGACAGAGAAAAUCUCCAGGCCCCAUCAUGCAGGGCCUGGCGCAUAGUAGGCCCAAAAAGAAAUAAACUCAAGACUAAAUGAGCCAGCAUAUGCUCACCAAUAGGUUUCCGGGAUUGGGAGAAAAUUCUAGAGACUACCAGAGGCCCUCCCGCUGGACCAUUGCAGGGAAGCCUCCCAGCUGAUGAAUCUCUGACUUCAUCAUCACAAGAUGGGCCUCCAGGGUAAACUGUGACUCAAGGUCACAGUCCACAACUGAGUCACUGUGUUUUAUGGUCCCUGUGAAAAUGCAGACCAAAGCUCAUUUCCUGGGGAAAAGAGGAGAGGGAGGAAGCCUGAUACAGGACUUGGAUUCGCCAUGUGGACUCGAGGUCCUGAGGGGAACCCUGAAAGGAACAAGGGAGAUGGGGAGAAACAGAGAGCACUGGCCAAGGAGUUACAAAGAUGAACUCCAGCCCCAGCUCUGCCUCUGGAGGCCACAGGACCAUACACAAGACACUUCCCCACACUGGGCCUGUCUCCUCAACUGCAGAAAAACUUCUAAGGCUAUGGAUGUUUGUCUUUCCCAUCAGCUCUUCGGGAGAGCAUAGAAAAAAAAAACCUGGCAGCAAAUAAUAAUAAAAUAAUAAUAAGUCGGGUGCGGUGGCUCACGCCUGUCAUCUCAGCACUUUGGGAAACCAAGGCUGGAGGAAAACUUGAGGUCAGGUGUUUGAGACCAGCCUGGCCAACAUGGCAAAACCUAUCUCUACUAAAAAUACAAAAAUUAGCCUGGUGUGGUGGUGCACGCCUGUAGUCCCACCUACUCAGGAGGCUGAGGCACAAGAAUCACUUGAACCCGGGAGGCAGAGGCUGCAGUGAAUCGAGAUUGUGCCACUGCACUCCAGCCUGGGCGGCAGAGCGAGACUCCAUCUCAAAUAAUAAUAAUAAUAAUAGCUGCUAUGAUUUAUGAAGCCAUUUCUCGGUGUCAGGCACUGUGCUAAGAGCUUUGUAAGCAUCAUCUCAUUUGGGCUCUGUCCUCCCACCGGGCUACACGUAAGACGAGUGGAAAGUUCAGCAGACACUUAAGAGCAUGGACUGCAGACCCAGAACUUGGAAGAGACAUUUAAUGGCUCUGAGCCUCAGUUUGCCCAUCUGUGAAGUAGAAAUAAUAGCAGUAUCUACACGACAUGUAACGAUAGUAAGUGUUAGGCUUUGUUAUUGCUAUCACUAUCCACUUUAUAGAGGAGGAAAAGUGAGGCCCCGAGUGGUAAACUCACUUGCUCAAGGCCUCUAGCAAGUGGCAGGAUCUGUAGUUCAGCAACCGUGGGCAGGGCUAUGCAAAUCAGCAGGGCAUUGGCCUGGCAGGUCCCAGGCACCCUCUGCAAGACAGCAGCAACACAGCAGCUGAUGGCCAACCCCAGGCUGAGCAAAUAUCACAUUCUCAGCUCCAGGAGGAGUCCCAGGGCUCAGGGUCUCUCGUUUCCUCAUGUAGCUAAUGCACGGAGUGCUGCAGGCCCAGGGGAGAGAGGAGCUGGCAGGGGCUGG
RNAcentral lists this non-coding RNA (12960 nucleotides) under Pongo abelii (Sumatran orangutan). Lineage: Eukaryota; Metazoa; Chordata; Mammalia; Primates; Hominidae. The record is from RNAcentral.